AUAUUAUAUUAUUUUAAAAGAUUCCUUUGCUGUUAAUUGGAGUUAAGCAUAAAAUUGUUAAAAAUUUCUAGUGUCGUCCCGUUCAUUCUCCUCUCUCCUUCUUUUAACCAAAUUAAACGUAAGUAAACAUCAAAUAAAUUUAUUGAAUAAUUGCAUAUCGAUGGUCACGGUCGGAAAAUGCCUGCCUCCAUUGCAACGUUUAAAAAUCUCCUAUUAUUAUCAUUAUUAUUUUUACUUUCAUGUUAAUUUCUUACUUAUUAUUGUUUUUCUAAGUUUUUUCUUUUUUUCCUUUUUUUAUUAAAGAAAACUAAUCAUAAUAUCUUUUGGCAACUUUGUGCGAAUAUUUUUGAAUGAGUUAACAUAAUUCCGCGACAAUUACAGAAACAUUAAAGAGACAAAUAAUUGGGUUGAUUUCUUGUAUUAUAUUUUUUAAAAGAUACGCAGUAUUUAAUUAAUUAAUCCAGUAUUGAAUGAUUUGGGGGGGGGGGCGAUUCCUCGAGUGUUUAACAUAGCGGUAGGUCAGGGAUUGAUUCACUAUGCGCAUUCGGACUGAAUUUUUUGCAAUAGGGAAUCACUGUAAAAUCUGUAAAAGCUCAUCUAUAAAAGCUCUAUCUGCACCGAAAUCUAAUGGUAGGUACAUAUUUUAAUUUUCAAAUCAGAGGGAGGGGCUGGCCGCCCGUUCCAAGUACAUGCGAGCAGUAGUUGCUGGAACUUGCUUUUCUCACCGCUUUCAAAGCUAAAACAAAUUCUCAAAUCAGCCAGGAAUGAUGGUUCUUUAUUGCUAAUUUUAGUCAUCUAACUAGAAGCAAAACAGUGUUACCAACUUAACGAGGGUCGCCAUUGCGAUGAAGCAGUCUGUUUUGAUGCAUGGAUUAUCGAUCUUUCUACAUUAAUUUAAAUGGACAUGUUUAUUCUAAAAGGAACUAUGUUGCAAUUUUGCAUGCAAGCCCUAUGUACAUACUUUCUUCUAGCAUAUGUACGUCCACAUGAGUAGAACCCAGUGUCACUGAUUUGCAGAAAUUACCACUGUCUGUGUGUCAAAAACCUUCAAGGCUUCGAAUAAUGAUCACAGGUGACUUGUGAACUUUAGACUUUCCAGCCAUGGUAGCUCAUACAAUUUAGGGUAGCGACGGAAGAAUUUCAGGCGCAUACUAUCCUAGAGGCAAACAAUGAAAUUAUUGAAUAAAAGGGACGUCUUUAAUUAUAAGCAGAAGUGUGUUUAGUUACCAUCAAGAGAUUAUAAAAAAGUGCGUGAAACCGCCAAAGCAUAGUACAAUGUGAGGCUACGCGAUGUUUCUCAAAUCUCUCGAUUUCGAAAAAUGCAAUUAAUUUAGUGAAUUUCACUUUCUUUCCAGUGAUAGCACCGUCAACUUCUCUGCUAAUGCGGUACAACUCGCCUGUUGUGCUGGAUGAAAGAACUCUGGAUAAACUGCAAGGUUUAGCCGACAAUGGAAUGAGUUUAAUGAGGACCUACCUACCGCUGACCUCUCACGAUGACCUACGUCAGUUUGAAGUCAAUCUAUCGGAUUACUCUUUCCGUGCUCAAAUCGUAAAAGAGCUGUCACUUUCUGGAAGAAAAAACUUCAAAAAAACCAUCACUGAUAUAUGUCGGCAACUUAUGACUGAUGACUUGGCCCACGAUUUCAGUUGGAAGGGACAAAGGAACAACAAAAUGGCCAUGGAAGAUCUCCUUCUUAAGGAUCUAAUUUUUGAUGUCGUGAGAUUAAAAGGGUUUCGGCCACCUUGUCUUGGCAGAUACAAAAUAAUUGAAAUCAUUAAAGAAUGGUUAGCUCAAGCGAAUAAUCGGCUCAAAAGGCGGCAAACUAAAUAUUUAAGGUUCAAUCCUUCCUCUGGAAGCCUGGGUCAUCAUCACUUAUUCAGAUCACUUCAGAACUAAUUGAAGCUCUUAAUUGGUUCGCAUUUGAUGGUACCGAACAAGAGGUAAAAGGGUUGUCGGUGUCGACGCGGCUCCUGGGAGCGAGCGACCCUGAUGGAGGGCGCCGGGGAUUUUCGUGCCCCAAGUGUGGCCGCGUGUACAAGUGGGAGCAGAGUCGCCGGCUCCACAUGCGCAUCGGUUGCGACGCAGAACCCCAUCUAGCCUGCCCUCACUGCCACUACAGAACCAGAUACAAUCACUGCCUCACCCGACACGUCAAGAAAUUACACCCGAACAGCUUCAUUUAGCCUUACCAGAGACAAGAGACCCUCUACUAGUAUCUUGGCCAUGGUGGAAGCUUUUACUUUCGGGACUUCAGCAUUCUACUGUUGACUCACCUACAUGGUUGAUGUUCAAGAACGUGUUGGCAGUUUCGUUUUGCAAACAAGCCGAAAAUGGCCGACGUUUGGGAAAGUUGUUUGGCUUAUGACGUCAUCCGAAGCUCAUCAUCGACCAUGUAGGUAUGUCAACAGCCGGAACUAGCGUGAUGACUAUUGCUCCCUAAUAAUUGUCCACAAGGAAUUGUUGAAACCCCGAAAGUAAAAGCUUCCACCUGACGUUAGGAGGCCAGUGGAGGGUCUCUUGUCUCUGAGCCUUACCUUCACCAAUACGGGUAUUUUAGAUCCGGCUUGCUUUAAUCAGAUCGAUCUAAGUAACAGGGUCCAACAAUCUGAUAGAUCAUACCUAUACGGAAAGAUUUGAUGAAGAGGAUUCUCGACAUUUUUCAACCGGGGGCGCGUUAAGCCGGAAUCGUUCGCUGAAUGUGGAAACAUUCGGCCCGAUGCCUGAAUUUUGCGCAAGGAGCUCAGUAAAUUCUAGGUGGCGGUAGCCACUCCGGCCCAAUCCUAAAAAACUCCCCUAAAAAGUUGACGACCAAAAAAAAAAAGAAGAAGUGGAAUGACAUGAACCUCACUCUUUUACGGUGGCGGUGUUGGUAAAAAGUUCACAUUCUCAUA
Bemisia tabaci is the source of this 2892-nucleotide RNA transcript. RefSeq lists it as uncharacterized. NCBI's taxonomy places the organism in Eukaryota, Metazoa, Arthropoda, Insecta, Hemiptera, Aleyrodidae. The record is from RefSeq and is a predicted model, not a curated record.